RNAcentral lists this ribosomal RNA (470 nucleotides) under uncultured bacterium. RNAcentral describes it as "bacterial SSU rRNA". It matches the Rfam family "Bacterial small subunit ribosomal RNA", at positions 915 to 1391 of the family's 1533-position model. The record is from RNAcentral.
GGGGACCCGCAAGCGGUGGAUGAUGUGGAUUAAUUCGAUGCAACGCGAAAAACCUUACCUACCCUUGACAUGUACGGAAGCCUGAAGAGAUUCGGGUGUGCUCGAAAGAGAGCCGUAACACAGGUGCUGCAUGGCUGUCGUCAGCUCGUGUCGUGAGAUGUUGGGUUAAGUCCCGCAACGAGCGCAACCCUUGUCAUUAGUUGCUACGAAAGGGCACUCUAAUGAGACUGCCGGUGACAAACCGGAGGAAGGUGGGGAUGACGUCAAGUCCUCAUGGCCCUUAUGGGUAGGGCUUCACACGUCAUACAAUGGUACAUACAGAGGGCCGCCAACCCGCGAGGGGGAGCUAAUCCCAGAAAGUGUAUCGUAGUCCGGAUCGCAGUCUGCAACUCGACUGCGUGAAGUUGGAAUCGCUAGUAAUCGCGGAUCAGCAUGUCGCGGUGAAUACGUUCCCGGGUCUUGUACACACC